AGGUUAUAUCUCAGCUGCCAAAAAUGAGACAGUGUGAAGAACAGAAACCAAUGCCAUGAGCAGCCCCAGAUGAAUCCUGUGAUGGCUCGUCUGUGAGCAGAAAGAUGAUAGUUACUCUCUUGAGCCAUACAAGUACGAGGCUGGCCCCAAUCCUUCCCGAUAAGCAUCAAAUGGCGACAACUAGCUACAAGAAAUUCCUCCAGCAACAGAAUAAGUAUUGGCACGACAAGAAGUAAUCUACUGAUGGGAAUAGAGGCACUGAAAAUCAUCCCCUGACUAGUCAAUCCCAAAUUCACCUGCAAAUCCUCAUCCUGACACAAUCAGGAAGAUGUCAAAUGCAGGCACAUCAUGGACAGAUCUUGUACAUCUUUUCAGCAAUUCACCUUGGCCCUGAGCUAGAAGGAACUCCUGUUAGAGCUUCCAGGGACUUAAAAAUUUCAUUGAGGAGACAGUUUUCUUUCAACCUUCAUGUCCAAUUCUGACACAGUCCUAAGAGCUGCCCGUAAUAUCCAGAAGGAGGUGGAUCUGAGAAGAUAUUGCUGUGAACCACCAGAGGACUACCUUAUAGGUGCUCAAGAUGCUCCAAUUGAUGGAAGUAUUCAAAGGUGAAGCCACAGAGCAUGGAAGUAAACACUUCAAAAUGAGAGCAUGAAAAUCUGGACUGACAUGGACGGGGGAUGGGAUUUUGUCUGAGAGGUUCACAUACUAAGAGGAAAAAAUAUGUCCACGGAUUCUUAGGUAAGUUCUAUAAUAUAAUUAUUUCUAAGAAUUACAUGAAGCCAAUUCUUACCUGGAGAAACGGUUGACUGUACCUGCUCCCCAUGAACUUCAACAACAACAACAAAAAUCUGUUAGAAAGAUAAUGAAACAAACUCUACUUUGGGUGAGAAAAAAAAAAAUAGGUAAUCACAUGCGAAGUUGAUUCCUUUCUAAGCUCUUAACACACGUUGGUUUAAUUCUCAGAACAACCUGGUAAGGUAAGUACAAAGUAUCCCAUUUUACAUAGGAGGAACUUAGGCUCAGAGAGUUUCAAUGUGUUUGUAAAGGUCAUUAUCUUAUCUAAAGUUAAGAGUCAGUAAGUGGCAGAGCCCAAAGUAAUACUGAGAUCUAACUAAUUCCUAAAUCUCUCUUACUUCAUGUCGCAUUUCUUUCUUCCAAAGUAAGUGGCUUUGUUCUGACUGCCCAGAGAUAUGCAUAUUCUGUAAUUACGGUCAGAUAUAGAAAAUGUUAACUCAUGUGAAGUUGAAAAGGUUUUUAAGAGGUAAAAUGUAUUUUUACAUGUCCUUUCGUUUGCUUAUGUGAUGUUUCUAAAACUUUCCCUGGGUUUAGAAUGUGUACCUUCCUAAUGUGGUUAAGACACAAUGGAACAUUGGUAAAUAAAGCUUUUAUUAGGCUCCUGUAAAGUGCCCUGGAGGGAAAAAACAUUCUCUGUGACACCAUCACUCUACUCUAUCCUCAGACAUUCUUGUCAUCUUAUUGCGCAGUUUCUGGACAGAUUUUAUAGUAGUCAUUAGUUCAGUUAUUGACACUCAAAGAAAAAAUUGGUAAUCCAAGUAGUUCAGGUAAUAAGUUUUAUAGUAAUUUUAUAAUAAAGUAACUGAUUUUUGUAACGAGUUAUGUAACAAAUUAGCUCUCUGAAGAAGUUAAACUUAAAAUCGAAACAUACAUUUAUUGAAAAAUCAGUAUGUUUAAAUAUGCUAUAAAAACAAAUUUGAUACAAUUAAAUUUGAUACAUUUUAAAAAUAUUUGAAUCUCAGUGAACUCAAAACUUCUGGCAGAUUUUUUCCUGACCCUAAAUUUUAUUAUUUAGAUCAUUUAAAUCGUUUGUUUGUUUAUAGUUGAUUUACAAUGUUGUGCCAAUUUCUGUUGUAUAGCAAAAUGACUCACUCAUACAUAUAUAUAUAUACAUACUUUUUAUAUUAUUUUCCACUAUGUUCUGUCUCAGGAGAUUGGAUGUAGUUCUCUAUGAUACACAGUAGGACCUUAUUGUUUAUCCAUUCUAAAUGUAAUAAUUUGCAUCUACCAACUCCAAGUUUCUAGCACUGCCCACUCCCUCCCCUCUGCCCCUGGCAACCACAAGUUUUUCUCUAUGUUUGUGAGUCUGUUUCUGUUUUAUAGAUAGGUUCAUUUGUGCUAUAUUUUAGAUUUUGCAUAUAAAUGAUAUCAUGGUAUUUGUCUUUCUCUUUCUGUCUUACUUUACUUAGUAGGAGAAUCUCUAGUUUUCACCCAUGAUGCUGCAAAUGGCAUCACUUCAUUCUUUUUUUUUGGCUGAGUAGUAUUCCAUUAUGUGUAUGUACCACAUUGUCUUAGUCCACUCAUCUGUCGAGGGGCACUUAAGUUGUUGCCAUGUCUUGGCUAUUGUGAAUAGUGCUACUGUGAACAUAGGGGUACAUGUAUUCUUUUUUUUUUUUGUCUUUUUGUCUUUUUCUACGGCCACACCCAUAGCAUAUGGAGGUUCCCAGGCUAGGGGUCUAAUUGGAGCUGUAGCCACUGGCCUACACCACAGCCACAGCAACGCCAGAUCUGAGCCAUGCCUGUGACCUACACCACAGCUCAUGGCAAUGCUGGAUCCCUAACCCACUGAGCAAGACCAGGGAUCGAACCUGCAACCUCAUGGUUCCUAGUCAGAUACGUUAACCACUGAGCCACAACAGGAACUCCACAUGUAUCUUUUUGAAUUAUAGUUUUGUCUGGAUAUAUACCCAGGGAUGAGAUUGCUGGCUUAUGUGGUAGUUCUAUUUUUAGUUUUCUGAGGAAUCUCCAUGCUGUUUUCUAUAGUAGUUGCACCAACUUACAUUCCCACCAACAUUGUAGGAGGGUUUCCUUUCCUCCAUACCCUCUCCAGCAUUUGUUAUCGGUAGAUGGACAUUCUGACUGGUUUUAGGCGGUACCUCAUUGCAGUUCUGAUUUGCAUUUCUCUAAUAAUUAACUAUGUUGAGCAUCUUUUCAUGUGCCUACAAGGCUCAGUAAAUCUUUAUUGAUAUCUACCUAUUUUAUUUGUCUGAUGGAGAAGCCAUGCUACACUAAAUUACACCAGAACAGGAAAGAGAAGAUCUCUUUGGAACUACUACAAUGAGGAAAUAACAUUGGAAACUAUUAAGCUUUUUUAAUUACUAGUUAAAAUUUAUUAAAGCAAGAACUUUGUCUCAUCCCAUAGGAUCUAAGAUAGUCCGUGGUACAAAGUAAGUCUUAGUGGCUGGUUUGUGUUACACAGUUCUGAAAGGUCUGUAAUUUGUGCAUAAUGGAGAUCUAUGAUUUCAUGGACUAAAAGAUUCUACUGUAUCUAAUCUUGUAGAAGUAAUAUUUUUCUUUGGAACAUUCUCUGGUUGAUGGUCUUCAACAACUUUCUACUCCUAUUCCAAUAAAAAUAAAUUAUAAGUGAAUAACAAUAUUAAAUUAUUCUUUAGUUUCCAUUACCAGGGAGCACUCUAAGCAAUAUAUGGAAACAUAAAAGGAAAAGGCAGUUUCUAAGUUAAUGACAAUUUAAACUAUGUAGCACUUUUAAGACAAAAAUUUUAAAAAUGCAGAUAUACAUUUAUAUAUAUUAAUGUUAUUUAUAUGUUUUAAUAUAUACUUUCUAAAGUAUUUGCAUUUUAAUCUGGUUCCUUCCUCUCUUCCUUUUUAAAAAUCUCUCAUUCUCCUCACAUGUGUAAACAGCAGAAAUAGGCAUGUGAGAAGUAUCACAAACCUGUAGACAUUUUCACUCACCUCUGUGAGUGAAUAAAUAGGGAAAGCACUUGUGUUUGCUGUACAUGUAUUACCUAUGAACUUGAACCAUAUAAAAUUGUACUUUUUCUAGAUUAAAAUGGUCAGAUAUUGACUAGUUCAUAGAGUUCAGGUAAUAUAUUACAAAUUUCGUUCCACUGGUGUUCUGUGAUAAUAAAAUAUUUCCUCCUCUUUUUUAUGUUUAAUGAAACUAUACUCAGUGUAUACAGAACUGCUCAUAAUUCUAAAGCUGAUUGGUAUUCUAUUUUCUGGUUUGGUUAACUCAAUCAGUUAAGACACUAUACUACUGAGCCAUUUAAUUUAUCAAUAAAAUAUCUGCAAAUGUGGGUUUUUAAUUACAAAGAAGAGCUAGUAAAGGGGUAUGGAUUUUUCCUUGUCCAUCCAAGGUUUAUUUCUCUUAUAGUAACUUCUUCCUCCAUUAUUUUCCCUAAUAUCCCGAAGUAUAAACUUUCAUCUCUCUCCAUUUAAUGCAAAUUUCAGCCCUCCUACCAACUCUUUACUGCUUAUUAGAGAAGUCAUGGCUCAGGAAAAAAAUUAAUAGUCCAUAGUUUGCACAUUUUUAAGAGUUUUUUUUUUCAAAACUAAAUUUAAAAAUGUGGUUGGAGGUGUUUUCAUAAGGAUAAAUGAAUUUCUUAAGACAUUUUCAUUGUAGCAUUUAUUAUUUUUUAUUUCUCGAAAUAUUUUCUUUAAAUUAUGCAUGAUGAUUAUGUUUAUGCAAAUAUUCCUAAAUAUGAUGCAAGUUAGUCCCCUAUAAUCCAUAUGCAUAAUAUAUCAUAAUUUUCUUUUGCUCCACUUGUCACAUUUAUAAUCAAAUACUUACUUGUAAUAUUAUUUUGAAUUAUAUAUUGAGAGAAAAUAUGUAUUCAUUAAUGAAGAUUUAUUAAUUAUGAAUUACUUACUGCAGUAAAUACAGAAACUUUUACAGUGCCAGACACAUAAUAGGUGCUUAUACUUUCUGACUAAAUAUCUGGAUGAUUGAAAUAGUAUAGUAUAAAUCAAAAUACAAAGGCACAUAAUUGUGAAAUUGGAUCAUGAAAAUGCUAACUUUCUUGAGCAGGUAAAACUCAAAAAAAAAGGAAACACAAAUGGUUAAUAAUUCUACAAGAAAAGGUUAAACCUAACUAAUGAUUAAAGAAUUAUAAAUUAAAGCAACAAAAUGCCAUUUUUACUUAUCAGAUUGGCAAACUUUAAAAUGGUUGAUAAUAUCUAGUGCUGGUAAGAAUGUGGUGAAAUGUUUAUGCUUGUAUGCCUUUGGAGGCAACAUAAAUUAGUGCGGCUCUUAAGAGAAAUUUGCCUUAUCUUUUAAUAUUUAUAGUUACUGUCUAAUGACUCAGCAAUCAUGCUUAUAGGCAUUUAUCCUAUAAAUCUAUUCAGGCAAGUGAGAGGUGAUACAUGCCCCAGUUUGUAUAUUGUAGUAUUUCAAAAAAUGAAGGGAAAAAGCUAGAAACAGUAAACAUUUUACCAUUUUUUUGAAUAAAACUCACAACUAUUGAAGCUAAUUUCUUUUAUGCUUAUUGAAGAGAGAGGAUUUGGGAAUGAGAGGAUGAUUUUUCUUCUAAAAUAUCCUUUAUAUACAUAUAUUCUGUCAAAUGGGCUGCAGCCUUUUAUUACUGUAGAUAAUUGUAUUAUUUGUUAUUGAUCUUUCUUCAGAUGACAACAUUUAUUAUUUUUACAGAAAUUGUGUAAAUGAGGAAAACUGUAAAAAGAUUUUUCCUCUCAGUUUAUUUUGCGGCAAGUGUCAGUCUUUACUGUGAAUGUAAAUUUCAGGGUUAAAAUUAAUAAUCCUAGAAGGAGAAGUGCAAAUCAUACAACCUCCUCUCUUACCCAGGUAAAAGUUUAAGGAAAACACAAAUGAAUCACGCAUUUCUGUAUAAUCUGUGCUUUUGUCAAAAGGUUGCCAUGACUCAUUUAUGACUUUCCAUAGUUUUAAAACCAGUGUUUUUAACCAUAGAAAAUCUACUUCAUGGUCCUAUUAUGACAACUGUUGAGUCAAUAAUAGACUCUUUAGUUCAUGCAUGGAUGUUUUUGUAGAAAUAAACCAAGUACAACUGUCCCUUGCUAAUACUCCAUGAAGCGGAAUCCUAAACAAAGAAAGAGAGAGAUUAUAAAACCAAGUUCUCCUACAUGCAUUACUUUGGGUGCUAUAUACUGUGUGGGGUGCCAGAGAUACCACCUCAUUUGAUUGUCAUAGCUCCCUGAAGGAUCAGCUACAGCUCAAGGAUCAAGUAGCUGCUAAGAAUGCAAAGGACUAGAUUUGAACCCAAAUUCAUAUGAUUUCAAAUAUCACUUACAGGUCCAAAUGACGAGGCAGUCCUGACUUAAUUCAGUGCAACAUCUGUUCUUUCUUUUAGCUAGCCCCACAGUGAUCAGGAUCAGAUCUUUGGGACAGUAUUCUGUGAAAUAAAUGCUUUGCUACUCAGUUAUAAGCAGCGUGCCCUGGCAUUGAGAUAGAAACAAUAUUUAUGGAUCAUUCUAAUGUAUCGUUUUAACCAGUGGUCUUAUUGUGGUCCUACGUAUGAUUGAAAGAAAAGAGAUAGGAGUUCCUAAUAUGACUUGGCGUAAGAAACCUGACUAGUAUCCAUGAGGAUGCAGGUUUGAUCCCUGGUCUCGCUCAGUGCAUUCAUGAUCUGGCAUUGCAAUAAGCUGUGGUGUAGAUUGCAGACGCAGCCCUAGUCCUGUGUUGCUGUGGCAUACAUAGGCCAGAAGCUGCAGCCCUGAUUUGACCCCUAACCUGGGAACUUCCAUGUGCUACAGGUGUGGCCUUGAGAGCAAUAAAUAAAUAAAUGAAUAAAUAAAAAGUCCUCUGGAUUUCCAACACUGGUAAUAAUAAACACCCCUUUAAAAAGUGGGCAUUACCUGUGGGUAUUCUUUUGAAGUCAUUCUUCUCUAGAGGGAUUGCAUUAAAUGAAUUGACUUUGACUUGGCCACGAAGAGAGGAAAACUUGCUUCAAUAAUUCAGAAUAUUUCAGGAGCUUAAUUCCUCAAGAAAAUAUUUUAUUUGCCUCAUUUUUCCUUUGAGGUCCCUUUCAAGCUGCAUACUUUAUUUUAGCUCUCAAUUCAUUUCAUUUUGUGUAGAAAGAAUAGUAAUAAUAAAAAAAGGACACUGCAGAAAUUGAGAUAAUACAGCUGUUUCUACUACCAUGUCUUUAUGUCUCUUUAAAAGCAACAAGAGGCUCAUAAACAUUAGAAUUAACUGAGAGUGAAAUCCCAUCUCUUAGCCAUAUAUCACAUUUCUUAUAUCAUAGCACUUACUUAAAAGUCAUGUUACUGUUUUCUUUAACUCAGAAGCUCUGACUCAAGAAUAAUAUGCCCCUAACAUGACUGAUGUGUCUCUUAUAACUACAUAGGGUAAAAGCUUAAACUAUUGUGUGUGCCUGGAGUUGCUGCUCUAUCAUCUUAGUUAAUUUUCUUCAUGUCCCAUGUUUUGUUGUCUCUCAUAAGUGACUGUAUUUAAGAAAAAGAGAAAAUUGGGUGUGGUUAUUUAUGCAGGUCCUAUGGUUAAUACACUCCUAAAGUAGGUACCUGCUAUCUUUAUUACUGCAAACACCAUAGAUUCUAUGGUUCAUGUUUGGAAAGAAAAGAAUAAACAAUUUUAGCAUACAAAAUUGAGAUGAAUUGCAACUCUAUGGUUUGAGCAAUUUGAAUUCUUAAGAUACAUGUCCUAGUUAUAUAUUGAGAGGUUUAUUAAUUAAACCCAGCUUGAUCUCUGGACCUCAUGUGCUAAGAACUUUAAUUUGAAGGCUUGCCUACUUUGCUUUUGAUGCCACUUAGGGUCCAAAAUUAUUGUACUGAAAUAGUUCUCAAACCCUGAUUCAACUUUAAUGAGGAGAAAUCACAUUAUUAGAUCAUCCAAACACUUCUAUUUACCAGUCACAUCUUGUCACAGCUUUAGUAGCAGCUGUCCACAGAUAUAAGUUUUCACAAAUGAAAAAUCAGGAUAGGAAAGGCAGGUGUCACCUAGAAAAUCUUGAACUCUUUCCAAGAGGCAUUUUGUUGAAUUGCUAAACUGAUAAACUUAGGUUCUCUCACAAGGCUCCAGGGAGGAGCUCAUCAAGCACGUGGUAGCUCCCCGCCCCCAACAGCCAUCAUUAAGUAGAAACCCCUAAGUUUAGAAAAAUAUAAAAUGUUCCUAUCAGUCACGAUUCUUAAGAAAGCCCAUUCGAAUUGUGAUUAAGUUAAAUAGGAAGCCCCUGAAAUUCAAGUCUGCAUAUUUUUUUCUUAGAGCAAAUGUUUUUAAUUUAAUCAAAGAAGAAAAUGAAAAAGACAUGUCUUUCAUAUUUACCAAUGCCUUCAUUUGUUUUCAGAUGCCUCCUCCUCCUACCUCUUAAAUUCAGAUAUUUCUUGAGGAUCCUCAUUGUAGGUGCCUCUUUGAAAGGCUUUCACUUCCUACUCAACUAGCAUCUCUGCAUACAGCACUCCAGGUCAUAAUCUUUGCUCUUUUUGGGAUCCACAUUCUGAAUAUUUAUUGGCUAUGGAUCCAAUUCUGCCACUAAUUUUACUUUUUAAAUUACUCAUGAAGCAGCUCCUGUUAUAAGCACUUUACGUGCAUUUGCUCAUUUAAGUCUUACCACAAAUAAUAAAGAGUACAUUAUGGUUCUUGAUGUACAGAAAGGGAAACAGAAACUUAAAGAAAGGUUAAGAGGAAGCUGCUCCAAACUGACCCAGCUAGUGAGAGACAGAGCUGGGACUUCAGCCUAGGUGGUUCUUCCUCGAAAGCCUGUGAGCUUGACCACUAGGCUGUUGGAAAUCACUUUUCUCACUCUGGUUUGAAACCUGAGGUGAAUCUUUGACAUUUUCUUUUAUUGUUUACUUGCUAGACUACAGGCAAAAUAAAGAUACAAUUUUGGGAGUUCCUGCUGCGGCUCAGCAGAAACAAAUCCCACCAGUAUCCGUGAGGAGGAUGUGGGUUUGAUCCCUGGCCUCACUUGGUGGGUUAAGGAACCAGUAUUGUCGUGAGCUAUGGUGUAGGUUGCAGACAUAGUUUGGAUCUGGCAUUGCUGUGGCUGUGGUGUAGGCCAGCAGCUGCAGUUCCAAUUAAACCCCUAGCCUAGGAACCUCCAUAUGCCACCGGUGUGGCU
RNAcentral lists this long non-coding RNA (8804 nucleotides) under Sus scrofa (pig). Its description in RNAcentral is "lncRNA (ENSSSCG00030030534.1)". Lineage: Eukaryota; Metazoa; Chordata; Mammalia; Artiodactyla; Suidae. The record is from RNAcentral.